This 3188-nucleotide long non-coding RNA is filed under the name Erythranthe guttata (spotted monkey flower). RNAcentral describes it as "long non-coding RNA (EGUT_LNC002124)". Lineage: Eukaryota; Viridiplantae; Streptophyta; Magnoliopsida; Lamiales; Phrymaceae. The record is from RNAcentral.
CCCUCUCUCUCAAACUUUCUCCCUCUCUCUCUUUCCUCCGAUCUGCCACCACCGCCCGCCGCCUGCCGCCCGCCGCCGCCGCCCACUGCCCGCGGUACGCCGUCAUCCCGCCGUCCGCUGCCCGCCGCCUGCUGCCCCUAAUUCGCCCCCAAUCUCCGCUGCCGAUAAGUUGCCGUCGCCGACAGCCGCCCGCCGCCUGCUGCCUGCGGUUCGCCGUCAUACCGCCGCCGUCAUCCCGCCGCCUGCUGCCCCCUAAUUCGCCCCCAAUCUCCGCUGCCGAUCCGUUGCCGUCGCCAGCCAUUGCCGUCGCCGACAGCCGUCCGCCGACAGCCGUUGCCGUUGCCGACAGCCCUCCCCCGCUAGCCGUUACCGUCUGCCGCCAUUCCUCCUCCGUCUGCCCUCCUUUCAAGGUAAUUUUCCUUUUUUUUUAAUCUUUGUUUGUUUAUGUUGAAAAUUUUGUAUGUGUUUGAUUAUUGCGAACUAUUUUUGGGUUUUUUCUCGGAAUUAUGUGUUUGUUUGUUUUAUGUUGAUUUGAUUGAUGAGCCUGUGUUGCUCGGAAUUCUUCGAAAUUAUUGUUGCUCGGAAUUAUGCGAAUUGUUCUUGGGUUUUAUGUUGCUCGGAAUUAUGUGUUUGUGAGUCUGUUGUGUGUUUUGGUGAGUCUAUUGUGUGUUUUGGUUAUUUGAUGUUUCUUUCUGCAAUUUGGCUAUUGUGUCGGUGAUCAAUUUUUCCCUUUUUUUUUGUUUUUUUUUUCUUUUCUUUGUUUUUUUUUUUUGGGAAAAUUCCGAAAAAAUUCCGAAAAUUUCGUAAAAAUUUCCGAAAAAUUCCGAUUUUCCGAAAAUUCCAAAAAAAUCGGAAUCGGAAUCAAUUUUUGAAUUCCGAAAAAAUCGGAAUCGGAAUUGGAAGGCGUUGUGGACUUCCGAAAAAAAUCGGAUAUUUUCCGAAACACCCAAAUCCUAUACGAUCCGUCCGAUUUCCACUCCUAAUUAUGAAUAUAAAAUAUAUAAAUAAAUAAAAAAACCUUUUCGGAAAAAUAUUGAAAAAUUGCUUUAAAUUAGGGUAAAUUACAAUCACACCCUAAGGUAAAGCUAAAUUAUGAAAAAAAUCAUAAUAUUUGGGUAAGUAAAACAAUCCCUCGACUACGUAUUGUCUUUGUUCACCCUUACGGAGUCAAAUUUACUUACUAAUGAGGGGGGAUUUUUGAAAAUUGAAAAUUGAUAUCAAUUGAAAAUUGAAAGCUUUCCCGUUGCGACUACCACCUUAAUUUAGUUUUAGUUUAUGAAUGUAACUUUGAAAAUAAUUGUGAUUUUAAUAAUUGUGACCCUUCCCAAUUUCUAGGUAAUCUUUAGGGGUGCAAGUUGGAACGGAGUUUCCAAUUUCCGCCGGUUCCGAUCUGAAAAGUUCCGAUUUUGGAACAACUUUUUUCAUUCCGACUUCCGAAAUUCCAAUUUCCGAAAUUUUCCGAUUUUUUUGGAUUAGAAUUGGAAUUAUAUAAAAUAAAUUUGGAAUUUCCGAUUUCCGAUCCGAUUUAAUUCCGAAAUUAAUUCCGAAAAAUUCCGAUUUUUUUCCGAAAAAUACACCUAUAAAUAGUAUAUAUUAUAUAAUCCUUAUUUUCCGAAAAAUACACCUAUAAGUUUUGUUUUAGGAUUUUGACAUAAUGAAUUUUUGUUAGAAGUUUUAUUGGAUAUUAUGCUGUGUUUAUUUUUAUUUAUUUUUUUGAACUGAAAUUUAGUAGUUAUUAGUUUUACUUUUAUCGACGUGGAUGCUCUUAUUUUCGAAAAAUUAUGAACAUUUUAGAAAUUUCGGCUAAGUUUUGAAAUUUUAAAGCUUAUGUGAUUUCCGAUUUUUUUCCGAAAUUCCGAAAUUUCCGGGCCUUUUGGAAUUGGAAUGAAUUUUUAGAUUCCGAAAAUUUUGGAAUUGGAAUUGGAAUUGGUUUUGUACUUCCGAAAUUUUUUGGAAAUUUUCCGAAAAGGCUAAUUCCGAUCCGAUCCAUCCGACUUUCACCCCUAGUAAUCUUGUUAAUUAAAGCAUGCCAAAAGAUAGGAGUUGGGUUUUAUUAGAUGAUCGUCGGUUAGAAGUAUAUCAAAAUGGUUGUGUGGAAUUUAUGGAUUUUGCCUUCGCUAAAUGUUACGUUGAUAAUAAAAUAAGAUGCCCAUGUAGAGAUUGUAAGUGUCGUAAAUGGGGGGAUCGUGAAUUCGUUCAUAAACAUUUACUUUGGAGGGGUUGGGAUAAACUGUAUGGACAACGCCGAUGGACUCUGCAUGGAGAGUCCGAAGAAGAAUACAUUGGCGAGGAAAUGAACAAUACUAAUCAUAUAGAAAUUCCCGAAGUUGCAAUUUUAAAUGAACCUGUUGAUGUACGUGAUAACAUGGAAGAGUAUUUACUGCAUGCGUGUCUUGAUCACGAUCAAGAAAAUAAAACGUCGCUAACUGUGAUAAAAACGUCGCUAACCGUGAUAAAAACGUCACUAACCGUGAUAAAACGUCGCUACGAGACAGAAUUCGUCGCGAAUUUUCGUCGCCAGUCUUGCGUUUUGGCCUAGUAGUGGCGAUUAGGGCUUUGGCGGUGGUGACGAUUAGAGCUUUGGCUGGAGUUUUAGUAAUUUUGCUAGGCUUGCUGAGAUUCUAGAAUUUGCAAAAGAAGAAUAGGCUGGGUAGAACUGGCAAGGAGAAGUAGCGGUGGAGGGGACGAGAAGACCGGAGGAGGCUGGUGGUGGAAGAAAGGGGCAUGGGCGGCGGCGGCGGCUUCAAGACAUGAUUGCCGGAGGUGGUGUUGUGAGUCUGGUGGUGGUUGUGAUUUCAAUGAGAAAAAAGAAUUUUGGGGAAGACAUGUUCUUUCUUUCUGUUUGGAGGGAGCGGUUUAACGAGGUGAUUGCCGGUGAUGGCGGUGGAAGUUUGCCGGUGGUCGUGGCAAUUUCAAUGGAGGAAAAGAAUUUUGGGGAAGACGCAAUUUUCUCUCUUCUCUUUUCUUUUUCCUUUUCCAUAAAAAAUGUGUUUUUUUUUCUUUAUUUAAGAAAUUUUUAAAAAUUGCAACUUGAUCCAAAAUUUUGGAUUAAUUGUAUUUAAAUCCAAUUUGAUUUUAUGUUUGAAAAAAUUACAAUUCAGUCCCCUAAUUUAAGUUUCAGGGGUGUAGUAAAAUUGCAAUUUGAUUUCUAUUAUAUAUUAAUUCUAAUUUUAUGUUAUCAAUUGAAG